This 841-nucleotide ribosomal RNA is filed under the name uncultured bacterium. RNAcentral describes it as "bacterial SSU rRNA". It matches the Rfam family "Bacterial small subunit ribosomal RNA", at positions 673 to 1501 of the family's 1533-position model. The record is from RNAcentral.
GUGUAGCGGUGAAAUGCGUAGAUAUCAGGAGGAACACGAAGGGCGAAGGCAGCUUACUGGGUCUAUACUGACGCUGAGGAACGAAAGCGUGGGGAGCAAACAGGAUUAGAGACCCUGGUAGUCCACGCCGUAAACGAUGAGUACUUGGUGGUGGAGGAUUCGACCCCUUCACUGUCGGAGCUAACGCGUUAAGUACUCCGCCUGGGAACUACGACCGCAAGGUUGAAACUCAAAGGAAUUGACGGGGACCCGCACAAGCGGUGGAUUAUGUGGUUUAAUUCGAUGCAACGCGAAGAACCUUACCUGGACUUGACAUGUUAGUGAAACUCCGGCGAAAGCCGGAGCCUCCGCGAGCUUGCUCAAGGACACUAUCACAGGUGAUGCAUGGCUGUCGUCAGCUCGUGUCGUGAGAUGUUCGGUUAAGUCCGAUAACGAGCGCAACCCCUAUCCUUAGUUGCCAGCACGUAAUGGUGGGGACUCUAAGGAAACUGCCCGGGAUAACCGGAAGGAAGGUGGGGUCGACGUCAAGUCAGUAUGUCCCUUACGUUCAGGGCUACACACGUAAUACAAUGGGAAGUACAGAGGGUAGCAAAACUGCGAAGUGGAGCCAAUCCCAAAAAACUUCCCCAAGUUCGGAUUGCAGUCUGCAACUCGACUGCAUGAAGCAGGAAUCGCUAGUAAUCGCGCAUCAGCAUGGCGCGGUGAAUACGUUCCCGGGUCUUGUACACACCGCCCGUCACGCCAUGGAAGCUGGUAGCACCCAACAUCGGUGUCCUAACCUUCGGGAAGGAGCCGCUUAAGGUGAGAUUGGUAACUGGGGCGAAGUCGUAACAAGGUAACC